Oryctolagus cuniculus (rabbit) is the source of this 9783-nucleotide non-coding RNA. Lineage: Eukaryota; Metazoa; Chordata; Mammalia; Lagomorpha; Leporidae. The record is from RefSeq and is a predicted model, not a curated record.
UUUUAUGGUGAAUACUGAUAAAAUCACAGUAAUUAGCAUUUCCAUCUCCUCUAUGAGUCCUGUGACAGAAGUUUUGAUUUUAAAAAUAUAUUUUUUUAAAUUUGCUUUUGAAAGUCAGAGAGAAAGAGGGAGAGACAGAGAAAGAAGGAGACACAGAGUUAGACAAAUAGUGAUCUUCCAUCUGCUGGUUUAUUUCCCAAAUGCCUACCAAAUCCAGCUUUGGCCAGGCUAAAGUCAGGAACCUUGGGGCUGGUACUAUAGGGCAGUAGGUUAAUCCUUUGCCUGCAGUGCUGGCAUCCCAUUUGGGCACCGGUUAUAGCCCUGGCUGCUCCUCUUCCGAUUCAGCUCUUUGCUAUGGUCUGGGAAAGCAGUAGAAGAUGGCUCAAGUGCUUGGGCCCCUGCACUUGCAUGGGAGACCCAGAAGAAACUCCUGGCUCUUGUCUUUGGAUUAGCUCAGCUCCAGCCAUUGCGGCCAUUUGGGGAUUUCAGCCAUUUGGCCAUUCCAACAGAUGGAAGAACUUUCUGUCUCUUCUUCUCAUUGUCUGUAACUCUAUCUCUAAAUAAAUAAAUAAAAUCUUAAAAAAAUGCAAGGAACCUGGAACUCCAGCCUGUUUUCCCAUAUGGGUGAUAGGGAAACAACUACUUGAUACACCACCUACUACCUCCCAGGGUGGGCAUUACCAAGAAUUUGGAUUUAGAAGUGGAGUUAGAACUUGAAUGCAGGCAUCCCAAGCAACAUCUUAACUACCAUGUUGAGCACUUACUCUAACAGAACUUUUAAUAAAUAUGCUUAUAAGAGUCAAUUUUCAUGUUUGAAAUUGAUAUUACAUACAUACACUGUAUGCUGGUCACCAGGCCACAAGCUGAGAUACACUCAGUAAACUUAAAAUCUGAUGAGAGAGAUUAAACUUUAAAAAUCAUUUUAAUCUUCCUAUAAUGGAGGUAUGUAUAAGCAUCUAUGGGAAUGGAGAGAUGGGAUAGGUAAUUCAUUUUUUCUUGUUUAAUUUGGAUAUUUUUUGAAGAGUUUAUUUAUUUUAAAGGCAGAAUUUCAGAGAGGAGAGAUAUUGAGAGAUCUUCCAUUCACUGUUUCAUUCUUCAAUUGUCCACAAUCGCCAGGGCUGGGCCCUGAAGAAGCCAGGAGCCAGGUGCUUCAUCUGGGUUUCUUAGGUGGAUGCAGGGGCCCAAGGACUUGGGCCAUUUUCUGCUGCUUUCCAAGGCAUAUUAGCAGGGCGCUAGAUCAGAAGUGGAGCUUGAACCGGGGCCCAUGUCUAAGGCUGCAGCUUAACUUGCUGCUCCACAAUGCUGGCCCCAUUUUAAUCUUUAUAACAAUGAUUCUUAUAUUUCUUCUCUCACUCAUUCGAAGGUUGCAACUUAUCUUCUCUCAAUCUCAGUAACUUUCUUACUUAAGUAUGUAUGAUGACAAGUCAUCCUGUAGACAUGAAUCAGAAUCUCCAAGUAGGGAGGGGACAUGGAAGUUGGAAAAGCAUUGCACCCUUACAUGAAUGUUCUCUGUGAGAAUUUGGCUAUGUAAGAUAAUUAUUUUUUUUGCUAGUAUUGAGAAGAGUAAAUUUCAAGGGAAUAGCUUAUAAGUCCCCCCCUCCCCCCAUACACAUACACACAGAAAGUUGGAGAUAGGGCAUGGGUCAGAAAUGGUUGUGGCAAGGGUGAGGUGGAAUAAAUAGAGACCAGAAUCUAGUAUGUGUUUAAUUGUAGGAUGACAAGGCUGGAUUUAAUUUUCUGGAGAUUACUGGAGACGUGAUAUACUCAUACUCAUAAUAUUUCAAAGUGCUUUUUAGUAAUAAAGGAUGAUUGUGGGAUGUUAGUCUGCAAAUUUGGAGACCAACUGAAGAAGUCGCUGAUUCAAGUGAGCAACAAGGAUGGCUGAAGAUUGAGGAAGUGCUGGGGCCGGCGCUGUGGCACAGUGGGUUAAAGCCCUGGCCUGAAGCGCCAGCAUCCCAUAUGGGUGCCAGUUCUAGUCCCGGCUGCUCAUCUCCCGAUCCAGCUCUCUGCUAUGGCCUGGGAAAGCAGUAGAAGAAGGCUCAACUCCUUGAGCCCCUGCACCCAGGUAGGAGACCCAGAAGAAGCUCCUGGCUCCUGGCUUCGGAUCAGCGCAGCUCUGGCAAUUGCGGCCAUCUGGGGAGUGAACCAGUGGAUGGAUGACCUCUUUCUCUGUCUCUGUCUCUACCUCUCUCUGUAACUCUGUCUUUCAAAUACAUAAAAUAAAUAUUAAAAAAAAAAGAUUGAGGAAGUGCUGAAUUGAAUGUGUGGUCAAUGACAACAGAAGCAGGUGCUGACGUUGCAGUACAGUAGGGUAAAAUGCCAUGUGGAACACCUGCUUUACAUAUUGGAGUGCCAGUCUGAGUCAUGGCUGCUCUAUUUCUACUCUAGCUUCUUGAUAAUGUGCCUGGGAAGGCAGCAGAAGGUGACCCAAGUGUUUGAGCUCUGGAACAAACAUGAGAGGCCAGUUUCAGCCUGGCCCAGCCCCUGCUGUUGUGACCAUUUGGAGAAUGAAUCAAUGGAUUGAAGAUCUCUCUCAAUCUUUCUAUCAUCUAUCCCCUUCUUCCUUUCUCUCUUAAAAAAAGAAGCAGGGAAAGUUUGUCCUUUUUUAAACUUCUGCUGCACGUUUCAGCAAAGAUACUUUUGUGUACAUUACCAUUUAAUCUCCACUACCCUGAGAAAUUAAUGUUGCUUCAUUUUUAAAGAAGAGGAAUUUGAAGAACAAAAGAUUUUUCUUUUGACAUCCCAAUGAUGGCCAGUUAGGUAUUGCAAAAGCUGGAAUUAAGUCAGGUUGCUUUGGUUUCAAAAUACAUGCUCUCCUCAUUAUAUAAUUGUUUUUAGAUUUAUGAAAGGAACGAUAGGAAUAUCAGAGUUUUUGCUUGAUCAGUGAGUAUUAGGCCCAUUAAAGUGUGCAAUACUGGAUGCAGGAGAAGAUCAUGCAUGCAGUUUUGGAUAUGACAGUGUGAGUUAUCUGUGAGUGAUCCAUUUAGAUAUAUAUAGAAGGCUUUUGCACAUGAAACUCUAUAGUCAAAAGAUGUACCCUCUGGAUGUAGAUUUAUAGUCACAGAAAUUUAACAGGCUUCCAGAGAUAAGCAAUAGAAGGAUAAGAAAAGAGAGCCUAGACAGAAAUUUGAAGAUCAGCAAUCUUUUAACAGAGACAAAAUGAGUCUACAAAGGAGACAAAGCUAAUCAGACAGCAAGAGCACCAACAAGAUUUCUCAGACUGUGAGAAAGGAGAGAAUUUUAAAGCAUCUCUGGUGGUUCACAGGGGAAAAUGCAGCAUUAUAUUCAAGGCACGCACAUUCAAACAUUUUCCAUACUGUCAGAAAUUGGGUCAGCGGAGCUGGUGAAAAAGGCAGUUCAUUGGAAUGGCAGAGGUAAAAGAAGGAUUUUUCAACUUACUAGCACAAUGCUUUCAAAAAGCUGGACUGUGGGUGUGGCCCUGAGGUUAAGGGGCUGCUUCCGAAGACAGCAUUCCAUUUCAGAGUGUGGAUUUAAGUCCUGGCUCUGUUCCCAGUACCAGCUUCCUUUAAACCUAGAGGCUGCAGGUGAUAGCUCAUGGAGCUGGAUCCCUGUCAUACACAUGGGAGACCAGGAUUGAGUUUCUGGCUUGAGCCUGGCUCAACCUCAGCUAUUGCAGGCAUUUGAAGAACACACUUGUUGGUGGAGCUCUAUCAGUCUGCUGUCUCUCUGUCUCUCUCUAUGUUUCUAUGCCUUCCAAAUAAAUGAAAUAAAGAAAUAAAAUGAAGCAAAAAACUUAUUUGUGAAGGAAAAAGGAUAUGAAAAGGAAUAUACAGACGUGGGACAUCUGAACUUUUUAAGAUGGGCUAGCUUUAAAUAUACUUUUAUUUAUUUUAUGUGUGAUUAUUUUAGCAAGCACUUCCUAUGUGUUAAACAUUGCUUACACUUUGCCUGAAUUGUUUCAUUUACUUCUUUACUUACUUACUUAUUUACUUAAUUUAAAAGACAAAGAGACAGAAAGGCAGAAAAAGAGAGAGAGAUCUAACGUCCACUAGUUCUAUCCCUGAAUGUUACCUACAAGCAGCGGUGUGCCAGAUCAAAAGCAGGAGCCUGGAACUCAGUCAGGUUUCCCUCAUGGGUGGCAGGUGUCCAAAUUCUUGGACCAUCACCUGCUGCCUCCCAGGCUGCGCAUUAGUAGGGAACUGGAUCAGAAGUGGAAGAGCCUGGACUCGAACCAGGCACUCCAGUAUAGGAUGUGGGCAUGCCAAGUGGCAUGUUUGCUGCACCAACUGUUCUUCUUUCAAAUGCAAGCAAGGGAAGCACAAAAAGGUCACCAAAAUUUGCACAAGAUCAACUUGCUGCAAAGAAUAAGAGCCAUGAUUUACCUCUGAGCAGUUUGACUCAGGAGCCAUCCUGUGUAACCUUUGCCUCCUGAGGAAGUGUUCAGAGGGGAGCAGAUGGAAGACCCUUGGGGGAGAAGCCUUAAUGGGUGCAGUGAGAGCCGAUCCACCCCAAGGGCAGUUCAGGGGAGGGAGCAUGAGGCAGUUGAACUUUGUCAAGUGGGGCUUCCCAGCUGACCAGAACCUCCCUUUUCAUACAAGAGAUUUAAUGUAAAUACAGAGCUCCUUCCAAAGAUUGGUUUUAUAAGCUAUCAUUUUCUUUUCUAGACUGUGUUGUGUUUGUGUAAUAUAUUAUAUUAGUUAUAUAAUUAUUUAUAUAAAUUAACUACUGAAAGUGAUUCAACUUAUCAGUUUAUUCAUACAUAAUACUAAGCCCUGUUAGUGAUUACGGUUUUACUUUGCAUUUUAUUUCAUUCAUGAAACAAAUACUGAGUAUCUACUAUGUGCUUGGUGUAUUGUUUGGUUAUUCUUUGUGGAUAAUCCUCAGGCCUAGGCAUAUCCUCAGAGCCUAGGAGAGGAAUAAAAAAUACACUGAUUUCUUGAUACAUAUUCCAAACAGAAUAUUCCUGCUGGCUGCUCAUGUCUCCUUUAAAAACCAUUCUAGCUCAAAUGCUAGCUUUGUCCCUAUUGGGAAGCAAGGCAAGUAUGCUAUGAAGGUCAAAGUUUACAGAGGAAGUAAUAAUCCAAUGAAAGAGUCUAUUCUCAGAAUAUUUACAUUCCUGUUUUCUAAAUGCAGUUGGUUUUCAGAAAACAGCUGAGACUGAGAUAAACAUUUGAACUCAGAAUGUUUGUCCAAACUAGAUCUUGAAAGUUAUAGUCAUUUUAAGUAUUUCCUGUUGAUUCGUAAACCCAGUAUUUUCUCUUUACCUGCUGCCUCUUCUCUGCCUAGCAAGACUAAAUAUCUCCUGUGUAAAGUGUGCCUCUUGUUGGUGCAGGCAGGAUUAGUCACUCUGUCUUCUGUGCUCCCCCUGCCCCGUGACCCCAUAUUUAUAUACAUACAGAUGUCCUUCAUUGCCAUUGCUGAUUUGUUCCAGGUCCUUCUGCAGAUACCCAAACCCACAAAGCCUCCAGUCCCUUCUGUACAACACUCUAGAGUCUGCAUAUAACCUGUGCCUAUAUUUCAUACACACCAGAUCAUCUCUAGAUGAUUUAUAACGCCCAAUGUAAUAUAAAUAUGUAAAUGUUUAAAUAUGUACACAGCUGCUGUACUGUAUUGUUUAGAGAAUAAUGGCAAGAAAACAAUCUAUGUGUUCAGUACAGACACAUUUUUUCCCCAAAUAUUUUCUCCCUGUGGUGGGUUAAAUCUGUGCAAUCUGCAGCUACAGAGGGGCUGCCUGUACUUAGAAGCAGAUUUGCUGUGAAGAGAAGGAAGCUUACUUUUCGGGAUGAGCCCCAGGGAGAAAGCUAGCCACAUGUCCACAUAGUUAUAUGUUUUCAUGAAAUUGGCAAGUGGAAUUUUUUAAAAUCACAGCCUGGGGGCCUAACAUCCUGUUGCACUCCCAUCUUUUCCUGCUGACCACCUCCCUUGUGACCACCGUCUUGCUGAGGCUGUCGACCUUUCAAAGAUCUGAGAAGGAACAUAUGGCAGUUAGUGGGCUGUAUCUGUGUGCCUCACUGUCACUUCCAAGUGCAGUUGCAUUGCGACCAGCCCAGCAGCUCCAGGCAGAAACAUUCUCCAGGACUCCUGCUAACCCUGAGCUGGUUCCUGAAAGUGCAGCUCACAAGUUACGUGGUGGCAGGUAGGUGUUCUAAGGGCAUGUCAAAGCAUGUGAAAAGAGGAAGAAGAAAGAGGCAGAUUCUGCUUCUGUGGCAGGGACCCUGGUGGCUGUGGUCACAGACUUGGAGGCAGCCAACAAGUGUGACUGAAGCCUAAAAGAACCUGUCCAUCACUAGAUUAACUGGUGAGAUUAAGAUUCCUGAUUUACAAAAUUGAAAAGCAGACUGUGUAUCCAUGGUGACUCCACGAAUGUGCUGACACCUGGCAAAGCUCACUCGGAAACAUCUUGUCAGCCUCUUUCAGAAAUGCACAUGAAAAGAGAAACAGGAUAAUGAAAAAUCCAUUGCAAAGCAUCUCGUGAGUAACAGAAAAUUUGAAAAAUACAGCUAAACACAUGUUUACUUCCCAUGUGCAAGCCACUACUGAAGCAAAGAUGAAUAAAAUAUAAUCCUUGCCCUCAAAGAGCUAAUAUUUUUAAUAGGGAGAGAUGAGGAUGUGCAAAAAUCACAAUGCACGUAAAUCAAAACACAAAGUUAAAUGGAUCAUCGAUGGAAGAAAUUUGAGUUGGGGCUUAAAUAAAGGACACUCUUUCUGAAGGGGCUUUGGUAGCAGUGCAGUGAGAAAGUGAUGUGAUGAAGUACCUCGGGGUGGAGGUGAGAUAGUCAGGUGUGUCACCUACUAUCGUCUGAGAGUUUGAAAUAAUUUAUUGUACAAGCACAAUGACCUUCGUGUGGUUAAUUCCAAUGGACAUAUUUCAGUUACUAUUCUCUGACAUGUCAGUGGAAAUUGGGAUUAUUCAUCACUUCCUGCGUUCAGAAAAGCCUCCUUCCUUUAGCUUCUUUGACUUCCCAGUCUCUGCACAUUCUUAUUUUCAUAACUGCUCUCCAAUUCCUUUUUCUAUCUAUGCAUUCUCUGAGCUCCAUAUGUCACCACUGCCAGGCUCUCUAUAGGCAAAUGAAAGUAAACUGAUGUUCUUUAUCAUGCAUUCUACUGCAAUGUAUGGCUGGGAUCUCUCUGAUGUUCUUUUUCUAAGCAAACAGGGUGUUCCUCUAACUAGUAGCUAAAACCAGAACUUCAGAGGUCAUCCUGGAUACUCACCUCCCCCCCCCCCCCCGCUCCCUAACAGCACCAGGUCUAGUACAUCAAAACUCAAGUCAAUUUUUAUUCCCAAGAAUUUCUCUGCCUCCCUCAAAGUUCUUCAGCUGUACUGGCUUGUUUUGGUUUCUAGAAUGUACCCUGCUCUUCCCUGCCUUGGUGAGUUUGAAUGUACAAUAUACAUCAUUUGGGAUUUUCUAUCCCAUACCUAUUUUCAGAUCACAGCUCAAAUGCUGUGAUUGGAAAUGACUUUGAUAAUCCUCCUCAUUAGAUCCUUUUUAUUAGUUAUAUCUUCUCAUAAGUCCUAUAGUCUCCUUCAUAUCAGUCAUCCCAAUUGUACUUACAGGGUCAAUUUUGUAAUCAUUCAUUAAAUUAGUUCAUGAAUUAGCUGAGGACAGAAUUCUCUGUCUUGUGCCAAUGCCUAAUUGAACUUAAAUAUGUAUUUGCUGAAUGAAUGGCAGAAUACAUUAAUAAAUGAAAUGGAAGCAGGAAGGUUGGAAAGGCAGCAGUAAUCUAGGCUUGUAGUAGUACAGAAGUAGUUAGGUCAGAAUAGAUGGGAAAAUUUUGAGAUAUGGUAAGAAAAUAAAGUUGAUAAAACACAUUUACUAUUUGUCUGUAGGUGUCUUAGGGAAAAUGAGAAUCUAGGAGGACCCCCCAAGUUUAAACAUUAGCUGAGUUUGUUCAUUGGCUACUUAGUGUGAGAAAUGCUCAAAGCUGAGGCUAGAGAUUAAGGAAUAGCAAUACAGAGCGAUUUGGGGCAGCAGCAGAGGAGAAUCAAGAAGAAAAACCUGGGGGAAGAGAAAGUUUUUGUAGUAAAUGAUAAAAAUAUACUACUCCUUAUAAAAAUUCCAGUGUAGGGGUGGGUGUUUGGCUCAGCAGCAAACAUGCCACUUGGGAUGCGUGUGUCACAUAUUAAAGUGCCUACACUUGAGGACCGUCUCUAUUCUGAAUUCUACCUUCCUGCUGAUGCACACCCUGGAAUGCAGCAGGUGAUGGCUCAAGUAGUUACAUUCCUGUCAACCUCGUGGGAAAUCUAGACUGAGUUCCUGAGUCCACAGCAUUUGGAAAGAAAACCAGUGGAUGGUGACAACUAACUGAGCACCAAAGGGGAAACUUGUUGAAGUGAAAUGGACACUAUGAGAAACAGUGACUUGAUCAGCUCUUGUCCUGAUGGUUGAUGUACAAUGUAAUACUUUAUCCAUGUUAGUAUUUUUUUUUGUUCUAGUACCAUUGGUUGAACUCUGUAAUUAACACACAAUUAUUCUUAGGUGUUUAAAUUUUAACUGAAAAGUGAUCCCUGUUAGGAAUUUGGAAAACAUUAUGCUGACUGAAAUAAGCCAAUCCCAAAGGGACAAAUACCACUUGUUCUCCUUGAUAGGUGACAACUAACUGAGCACCAAAAAGGAAACCUGAUAAGGUGAAAUGAACACUAUGAGAAACGGUGACUUGAUCAGCCCUCACCCUGACUGUUGAUGAGCAACUUAAUAUGUUAUCCCUCUUAGUAUUUUUUUUGUUUGUUUGUUCUACUUAAUACUUUUGGUUGAAUACUGUAAUCAAUACACAAUUCUUCUUAAGUGCUGAAACUUAACUGAAAAGUGAUCGCUAUUAAAUACAAGAGUGGGAAUAAGAGAGGGAAGAGAUGUGCAAUUCGGGACAUGCUCAAGCUGACUUACCUCAAACGGUAGAGUUAGAAACAUGCCAGGGGAUUCCAAUUCAAUCCCAUCAAGGUGGCAUGUACCAAUGCCAUCUCACUAGUCCCAGUGAUCAAUUUCUGUUCACAAUUGAUCAUAAUGAUAGGACUAAGAACCAAAGGGAGCACAUAAACAAGAAUAGUGUCUGCAAAUACUAGCUGAUAGAAUCAAGAAGGGAGAGUGAUCCAACAUGGGAAGUGAGAUACACAGCAGACCCAUAGAAUGACAGAUGUCCUAAACAGCACUCUGGCCUCAGAAUCAGCCCUUAAGGCAUGCGGAUCUGGCUGAAAAGCCCAUGAGAGUAUUUCAGGCAUGGAAAGCCAAGACACUCUGGGGGGAAAAAAAAAAAAAACCUUAAUGAAAGAUCUCUGCGAGUGAGAUCCCAGUGGAAAGAAUGGGUCAUCAAAGAAGGAGGUACCUUUCUCUGAAGGGAGGAGAGAACUUCCACUUUGACCAUGGCCUUGUCUAAAUAUGAUCAGAGUCAGUGAACUCAGGGGGCUUCCAUAGCCUUGGCAGCUCAUGAGAAGAGCCUAGGGUGAUUACUGAUGCCAUAAACAAGAGUGUCAAUUUGUUAAGUCAACAACAGGAGUCACUGUGCACUUACUCCUCAUGUAGGAUCUUUGUCCUUAGUGUGCUGUACAUUGAGAUUUAAUGCUCUAACUAGUACUCAAACAGUAUUUUUCACUUUAUGUUUCUGUGUGGGUGCAAACUGUUGAAAUCUUUACUUAAUGUAUGCUAAACUGAUCUUCUGUAUAUAAAGAGAAUUGAAAAUGAAUCUUGAUGUGAAUGGAAGGGGAGAGGGAGUGGGAAAGGGGAGGGUUGCGGGUGGGAGGGACGUUAUGGCAGGGGAAGCCAUUGUACUCCAUAAGCUGCACUUUGGAAAUUUAUAUUCAUUAAAUAAAAGUUAAAAAAAAAAAGAAAA